Ornithorhynchus anatinus (platypus) is the source of this 486-nucleotide long non-coding RNA. RefSeq lists it as uncharacterized. The record is from RefSeq and is a predicted model, not a curated record. The transcript has 4 exons. Lineage: Eukaryota; Metazoa; Chordata; Mammalia; Monotremata; Ornithorhynchidae.
GGAAGAAGAGGAGGAGGGAAGAGGAAGAAGAAGAGGAAGAAGAAGAAGGAGCUCUCUUUGAACACAGACUUUGCAUGGAAAGAAAGAUAAGACGAUGUUUGGAAAACUGUAAUACUUCAUUGAUCGGGAUCAACAAGGGAAAACUCCAGAAAAGGCCUGACACCUCGAGGGAGUCAAGUCCUCUCUCCUUUUGUCCCAGCUGUUCCCCAUGGACACAGACCGAUCCUUCAGGAAUGUUUCUCGUCCCAGAAUCUUGACCUCAUGGAAGCAGAGCCAGAGGCAGCGUGAGGAUUAUGGUUUCCAGUACUGCAAGGAACAUCAGUUCUCGGGUGAUAACAAAUGUGGUGAAGAACUAAAAUCGCCUAGGUAGGCUUUCAAAAUGAGGCAUGGAGCCUCCUUUUCAAAUGUUGCGUGAAGUUGAAUCUACGUGCGAGUUGUUUUCAAUGGCAAAAAUGUUCUCGAAAAUAAAUCAUCCCAGGGCAAGGU